This 738-nucleotide long non-coding RNA is filed under the name Olea europaea subsp. europaea. Lineage: Eukaryota; Viridiplantae; Streptophyta; Magnoliopsida; Lamiales; Oleaceae. The record is from RNAcentral.
AAUCGAUUCCACCUCUUCUGGCAACACCCAUGCCCGACCACCACCCUUCAUCUCCCCUUAUCUACACUACCAUCCUAAUGUAUUAACAUCACCAAAACAGACCCUAAACAUGGCUGAAUAUUUUGGGAAAACAAGCCAAAUUAGCACAAACAUGAGGCAGUAGCGCCUUCUCCAAUUGAAGGGGUCCUACGCUAUCUUUCCACCAAAUUGCUACUAUUUGAGAAUCUAGCAUCCUCAUAUGAACUUGGGUGUGCAUUCAAUUAAUUCAAUCCAGCCUCCAAUCGAUCCAAUUUUUCAAAUCAAUUAUUUCUCGGUUCGAUUGCCUAACCCAAAUGCCGUGUCUUCUUCAAUUAAUGGAUCUUGAACCAUUAAUCAAGCCAAUUGCCAAAAACCAAAUAUUUAAUCGCCGACAAGAAAGCAACCAGCGAUCCUCAGACUCUCCUCCCCAACCACAGUUGAUUUCCUAACAGUUAAACGACGACUUUUCGAUUUCACUGACCUCCCUUUUGAUGAGCUUCUAAAUAUCGAGCAGGAAUUUAAAGACCAUAUAAUCUCCGAGCAGAAUUUAAGAAAUUGAAGAGUGAUCUCCACCGUAUGAUCUAGAACCAUCAGGUAGCCUCUAAAAUCUCGAGAAUGCCAGACAACGAGUGGGAGGAAUGGGGGGACAAUUUUGAGCAGCCCUCAGCCUUAACAACUGGCGACGCCACAGUAAUCGUCAUCCAUGGUUUUACCUUGAUA